UGAGGACUAUGUGCUAGACACUUCACUCUUGGCUUGAUUCCGAUGGACUGAUUGAUAGUCAAACAUCUUUGAUCCACAAAACUGCAAUUUCAUAUGGUCUACCUAACAAAUGCUUUACAUGUUUUAUCUUCUAAUCCUUACAACAACUGGUAAGGAAUUGCAAGGGGAGCUGUGGGCUUGACAAUGCUGGCAGCCAUUGCAACUGAGGAUGGAAUUAACAUGGAACACAACAGAGCUGGACGUCUGAGCCCUAAGGACGGCUUUUGGGAUCUCAAAUCCAGCUAUGCCUGAAGACCUAAAGCUAGAAGCUCCUGUGCUUUUCAGUUACAGCCAGUAAAUCCUCUUUUUUGGCUUAAGCCAGUUUGAAUUGGGUUUCUACACAGCCUGAAACUGCUAUGAAGUCAAAGGUAGUGUUAGUGCUGGAAGACACUGCAUGGAUAACCUCCUCAAGGGGCCACUUCACUUUCACCACCAAAUGCCCCUUUUCACCGAUCCUUGUCUACUGCUACCUUGUUUGAUAGAUUAUGUCUACCAAAAAUAAACAAAACCCGCAUUGAGAAUCAAGA
RNAcentral lists this long non-coding RNA (566 nucleotides) under Homo sapiens (human). Its description in RNAcentral is "HSALNT0054921". The record is from RNAcentral. Lineage: Eukaryota; Metazoa; Chordata; Mammalia; Primates; Hominidae.